Molecule: long non-coding RNA, 825 nt
Organism: Neogale vison (American mink)
Lineage: Eukaryota; Metazoa; Chordata; Mammalia; Carnivora; Mustelidae
Exons: 2
Source: RefSeq, a predicted model, not a curated record
CACAGAGAGGCCCACCCCGCUGAGGAACCAGCAACCACGGCGACUCUGGGAAAGAAGGCAUCAGACCAGCAGGGAACGAGACUUGUCCACAGGCUGCCGCUCCGGUGUUCCCGCUGUCCCCAACUGCCUUCCCUCGCCAGUAUCUGUGAGGUCACGGCGGACCCGCCACCCUUCAGACCUACGUUCCGGCUCUCACAGACACUUCCGGUCCUAAAGGAAGGACCACCUCCUCCUCUGAUGUCCGUCUCCUCUGCCCCCCAAGUCUCAAGUGGACCUCCAGCUUCCUCUGCCGGCUUCUCCAUCCCCAGAAGACAUGCACGCUGUGCCCCUCCUCCUGCGUCUCCCCGGCAACCCCGCCCCUGGGCUGCUACUGUCGUGGCUCAGAGCCCCUUGCAAGGCCCGCACUGUCCCCAGGUCCCACCCCAGUCUCUCAGUAGGCCACCUGCUUCCACACGCCAUCUCUGCCUGAAGCCCCCAUGUCUCCGGUGAGAACUCGAGAUCCUGCGUCCCCGGCCACGGUCACAUGCGUCCCCGGCCACGGUCACAGCCACUCAGAACCCCAUCUGCACCUUGCUGCUCCCAUGUUCAUAUUAACACGUGUGCUCCCUUCCCUGGCGUCCUGAGCCGCAGCCGUUCUGGGCAUGAUGCUUGGCGUGGACUAGGGUUGACCGAGCAAGGCCAGACGGUGGGUGCUUUAGGGUUUGUGCUGUGCCUGGCUGUCGACAGAGAGACAGAGUUCCCUUCCGUCUAGCUCGGAGCUCAGAUACAGUGUCAAAGUCAGUGCUUUUAACCCCGGAGCAUAAACAAAAUCUUUGCUGUUUCCCA